UACGAAGGGGGCUAGCGUUGCUCGGAAUCACUGGGCGUAAAGCGCACGUAGGCGGGCUAUUAAGUCAGGGGUGAAAUCCCGGGGCUCAACCCCGGAACUGCCUUUGAUACUGGUAGUCUCGAGUCCGGAAGAGGUGAGUGGAAUUCCGAGUGUAGAGGUGAAAUUCGUAGAUAUUCGGAGGAACACCAGUGGCGAAGGCGGCUCACUGGUCCGGUACUGACGCUGAGGUGCGAAAGCGUGGGGAGCAAACAGG
RNAcentral lists this ribosomal RNA (253 nucleotides) under uncultured bacterium. Its description in RNAcentral is "partial 16S ribosomal RNA". It matches the Rfam family "Bacterial small subunit ribosomal RNA", at positions 524 to 776 of the family's 1533-position model. The record is from RNAcentral.